Molecule: ribosomal RNA, 402 nt
Filed under: uncultured bacterium
Lineage: Bacteria
Description: bacterial SSU rRNA
Rfam family: Bacterial small subunit ribosomal RNA
Source: RNAcentral
UGGGGAAUUUUGGACAAUGGGGGCAACCCUGAUCCAGCCAUGCCGCGUGAGUGAAGAAGGCCUUCGGGUUGUAAAGCUCUUUCGGCCGGGAAGAAAUCGCGCCAGCUAAUACCUGGUGUGGAUGACGGUACCGGAAGAAGAAGCACCGGCUAACUACGUGCCAGCAGCCGCGGUAAUACGUAGGGUGCGAGCAUUAAUCGGAAUUACUGGGCGUAAAGGGUGCGCAGGCGGUUUUGCAAGUCAGAUGUGAAAGCCCCGGGCUUAACCUGGGAAUUGCGUUUGAAACUACAAGACUAGAGUGCAGCAGAGGGAGUGGAAUUCCAUGUGUAGCAGUGAAAUGCGUAGAGAUGUGGAAGAACACCGAUGGCGAAGGCAGCUCCCUGGGUUGACACGUGACGCUCA